GAUGAAGAACGUAGCGAAAUGCGAUACUUGGUGUGAACUGUAGAAUCCCGUGAACCAUCGAGUCUUUGAACGCAAGUUGCGCCCGAAGCCAUUAGGCCGAGGGCACGCCUGCCUGGGUGUCACACACCGUUACCCUCGCGCCAACGUCCAUCGUUGGCCGCGGCGCGGGGCGUGCGCUGACCUCCCGCGAGCGGGGUCUCGUGGUUGGUUGAAAAUCGAGUUCGCGGUCGAGGGUGCCGUGAUGAAAUGGUGGCUGAGCGACGCCCGAGGCCAAUCACGCGCGACUCUGUCCGGCUCGGACUCCUGGACCCCUUCGGCGUCUCCGGACGCUCUUUGGCGAGACCUCAGGUCAGGCGGGGCUACCCGCUGAGUUUAAGCAUAUCAAUAAGCGGAGGA
This 396-nucleotide unclassified non-coding RNA is filed under the name soil metagenome. RNAcentral describes it as "partial contains 5.8S ribosomal RNA, internal transcribed spacer 2, and large subunit ribosomal RNA". The stretch from base 1 to 122 matches the Rfam family "5.8S ribosomal RNA", at positions 35 to 154 of the family's 154-position model. The record is from RNAcentral.